ACACAUGCAAGUCGAACGAGAGCGUAGAGAAAGCUUGCUUUUUCUACAAUCUAGUGGCAAACGGGUGAGUAACGCGUAAACAACCUGCCCUACGGAUGGGGACAACAGCUGGAAACGGCUGCUAAUACCGAAUACGUUCCGAAAGUCGCAUGACUAUCGGAAGAAAGGAUGGCCUCUAUUUAUAAGCUAUCGCCGGAGGAGGGGUUUGCGUCUGAUUAGCUAGUUGGAGGGGUAACGGCCCACCAAGGCGACGAUCAGUAGCCGGUCUGAGAGGAUGAACGGCCACAUUGGAACUGAGACACGGUCCAGACUCCUACGGGAGGCAGCAGUGGGGAAUCUUCCGCAAUGGGCGAAAGCCUGACGGAGCAACGCCGCGUGAGUGAAGACGGCCUUCGGGUUGUAAAGCUCUGUUAUACGGGACGAAUAGUCUUGUGGUUAAUACCCAUAAGAAGUGACGGUACCGUAAGAGAAAGCCACGGCUAACUACGUGCCAGCAGCCGCGGUAAUACGUAGGUGGCAAGCGUUGUCCGGAAUUAUUGGGCGUAAAGGGCGCGCAGGCGGCUUCUUAAGUCUGUCUUAAAAGUGCGGGGCUUAACCCCGUGAUGGGAUGGAAACUGGGAAGCUCAGAGUAUCGGAGAGGAAAGCGGAAUUCCUAGUGUAGCGGUGAAAUGCGUAGAUAUUAGGAGGAACACCAGUGGCGAAAGCGGCUUUCUGGACGAAAACUGACGCUGAGGCGCGAAAGCCAGGGGAGCGAACGGGAUUAGAUACCCCGGUAGUCCUGGCCGUAAACGAUGGG
RNAcentral lists this ribosomal RNA (796 nucleotides) under Megasphaera sp. sp4-iso-1_H02x2. RNAcentral describes it as "bacterial SSU rRNA". It matches the Rfam family "Bacterial small subunit ribosomal RNA", at positions 51 to 813 of the family's 1533-position model. Lineage: Bacteria; Bacillati; Bacillota; Negativicutes; Veillonellales; Veillonellaceae. The record is from RNAcentral.